RNAcentral lists this non-coding RNA (213 nucleotides) under Candidatus Rokuibacteriota. The record is from RNAcentral.
UGAAUCAAGCCGACUCGCGGUCUGUGUGAGCUCCGGAUGAAGGGAAGCUGGUGAGCCCCGACGGUCGCGAUCGGGGCGAGGCCGGCACGGUCCCGCCACUGUGAGUGGGGAGCACGCACCCCGAUGAACGCCACUGUCCGAGUCGCGGAUGGGAAGGCGGGGCGCGCGCGACGAUCCACGAGUCAGGAGACCUGUCCGGAUGCUCGGGCGUCC